GUUCCAGCAGCCGCGGUAAUACGGAGGGUGCAAGCGUUAUCCGGAUUCACUGGGUUUAAAGGGUGCGUAGGAGGGCUGGUAAGUCAGUGGUGAAAUCCCCGAGCUUAACUUGGGAACUGCCGUUGAUACUAUCAGUCUUGAAUACCGUGGAGGUGAGCGGAAUAUGUCAUGUAGCGGUGAAAUGCUUAGAUAUGACAUAGAACACCAAUUGCGAAGGCAGCUCGCUACACGAAUAUUGACUCUGAGGCACGAAAGCGUGGGGAUCAAACAGGAUUAGAUACCCCUGUAGUCC
RNAcentral lists this ribosomal RNA (292 nucleotides) under uncultured bacterium. RNAcentral's name for it is "partial 16S ribosomal RNA". It matches the Rfam family "Bacterial small subunit ribosomal RNA", at positions 505 to 796 of the family's 1533-position model. The record is from RNAcentral.